UGCGUAGGUGGCGCUGUAAGUCGGGUGUGAAAUUUCGGAGCUUAACUCCGAAACUGCAUUCGAUACUGCGGUGCUUGAGGACUGGAGAGGAGACUGGAAUUCAUGGUGUAGCAGUGAAAUGCGUAGAGAUCAUGAGGAAGACCAGUGGCGAAGGCGAGUCUCUGGACAGCAACUGACGCUGAGGCACGAAGGCCAGGGGAGCAAACG
This 207-nucleotide ribosomal RNA is filed under the name uncultured bacterium. RNAcentral describes it as "partial 16S ribosomal RNA". It matches the Rfam family "Bacterial small subunit ribosomal RNA", at positions 568 to 774 of the family's 1533-position model. The record is from RNAcentral.